CAGUCGACGAUGAUGGGAGCUUGCUCCUGGAUUAGUGGCGAACGGGUGAGUAACACGUGAGUAACCUGCCCUUAACUCUGGGAUAAGCCUGGGAAACUGGGUCUAAUACCGGAUAUGACUCCUCAUCGCAUGGUGGGGGGUGGAAAGCUUUAUUGUGGUUUUGGAUGGACUCGCGGCCUAUCAGCUUGUUGGUGAGGUAAUGGCUUACCAAGGCGACGACGGGUAGCCGGCCUGAGAGGGUGACCGGCCACACUGGGACUGAGACACGGCCCAGACUCCUACGGGAGGCAGCAGUGGGGAAUAUUGCACAAUGGGCGCAAGCCUGAUGCAGCGACGCCGCGUGAGGGAUGACGGCCUUCGGGUUGUAAACCUCUUUCAGUAGGGAAGAAGCGAAAGUGACGGUACCUGCAGAAGAAGCGCCGGCUAACUACGUGCCAGCAGCCGCGGUAAUACGUAGGGCGCAAGCGUUAUCCGGAAUUAUUGGGCGUAAAGAGCUCGUAGGCGGUUUGUCGCGUCUGCCGUGAAAGUCCGGGGCUCAACUCCGGAUCUGCGGUGGGUACGGGCAGACUAGAGUGAUGUAGGGGAGACUGGAAUUCCUGGUGUAGCGGUGAAAUGCGCAGAUAUCAGGAGGAACACCGAUGGCGAAGGCAGGUCUCUGGGCAUUAACUGACGCUGAGGAGCGAAAGCAUGGGGAGCGAACAGGAUUAGAUACCCUGGUAGUCCAUGCCGUAAACGUUGGGCACUAGGUGUGGGGGACAUUCCACGUUUUCCGCGCCGUAGCUAACGCAUUAAGUGCCCCGCCUGGGGAGUACGGCCGCAAGGCUAAAACUCAAAGGAAUUGACGGGGGCCCGCACAAGCGGCGGAGCAUGCGGAUUAAUUCGAUGCAACGCGAAGAACCUUACCAAGGCUUGACAUGAACCGGUAAUACCUGGAGACAGGUGCCCCGCUUGCGGUCGGUUUACAGGUGGUGCAUGGUUGUCGUCAGCUCGUGUCGUGAGAUGUUGGGUUAAGUCCCGCAACGAGCGCAACCCUCGUUCUAUGUUGCCAGCACGUGAUGGUGGGGACUCAUAGGAGACUGCCGGGGUCAACUCGGAGAAGGUGGGGACGACGUCAAAUCAUCAUGCCCCUUAUGUCUUGGGCUUCACGCAUGCUACAAUGGCCGGUACAAAGGGUUGCGAUACUGUGAGGUGGAGCUAAUCCCAAAAAGCCGGUCUCAGUUCGGAUUGGGGUCUGCAACUCGACCCCAUGAAGUCGGAGUCGCUAGUAAUCGCAGAUCAGCAACGCUGCGGUGAAUACGUUCCCGGGCCUUGUACACACCGCCCGUCAAGUCACGAAAGUUGGUAACACCCGAAGCCGGUGGUUCUAAC
RNAcentral lists this ribosomal RNA (1368 nucleotides) under Arthrobacter sp. DSD89. Its description in RNAcentral is "bacterial SSU rRNA". It matches the Rfam family "Bacterial small subunit ribosomal RNA". Lineage: Bacteria; Bacillati; Actinomycetota; Actinomycetes; Micrococcales; Micrococcaceae. The record is from RNAcentral.